RNAcentral lists this ribosomal RNA (405 nucleotides) under uncultured bacterium. Its description in RNAcentral is "bacterial SSU rRNA". It matches the Rfam family "Bacterial small subunit ribosomal RNA", at positions 97 to 520 of the family's 1533-position model. The record is from RNAcentral.
GGCGACCGGGUGCGUAACACGUAGCUGACCUGCCCCUCAGCGGGGGACAACUGUUGGAAACGACAGCUAAUACCGCAUGAGGUUGGGAAUACCAAAGGUUCCCAACGAAACUUCCGGGACUGAGGGAGGGGGCUGCGGCCCAUCAGGUAGUUGGUGCGGUAAGAGCGCACCAAGCCGACGACGGGUAGGGGGCCUGAGAGGGUGGUCCCCCACACUGGGACUGACACACGGCCCAGACUCCUACGGGAGGCAGCAGUAAGGGAUAUUGCGCAAUGGGCGGAAGCCUGACGCAGCAACGCCGCGUGGAGGAAGACGGCCUUCGGGUUGUAAACUCGUUUUGCGUCUGACAAGUGAGGAUGGUAGGACGCGAAUAAGUCACGGCUAACUACGUGCCAGCCGCCGCGG